GGACUCAUUAGGGAGGCAGGCAGUCAUUACCACUCACACUGUACUUCCAGGGAGACACCGAUUAUGAGAAGAGAAACUCAGCGCUGGGGAAGAAGUCACACAAAAAGAAGUGUUAAGAAUUUCCCUUUGAUGCUCUGAAGGCUAAAGGUAAUGUCCAGUAUUUUGUUCAAUAGGUUUUCAUCUUACUGAAAAGUUUCGUGAUAUUAAUGACCUUCAGCUUACUCCCUCAGGUCUUUUCUUUAUUUCUCUUUAACACAUUAAAUAAACAUUUCCAUGUAUACCUAAAAAUAAUCUAACAUUAUGAGUCAAAAAAGGAAAAAGCUUUUGUUGUCUCAGAAUAUGUCAGCCUAAUUUGGUGUUGCUGUAUCCCUUCAGCCUUCUAUUUGGGAAUAUACUAUGGUCCCUCCCCUGAUUUUUGAAGCAGUUUGGAACUCUUCUGAUCUUAUGCCCUGCCCUUUUCCUAAAUAGACAUGUUGGCUCAAAGUAAAAAAGUCAGUACCUAUCGCUCUUUAGGAAGAGCUUUACAACUAACUAUAAGAAAUAAAAAUACAUUUUUGAGGGGACAACAAAACCAUGUAGACAAGAUUUAGUGGCUACUCAUGGUCAGAAAUCUAGAAAUUCAGGCAAGAAUUUUACAAUAGAUGUGUUGCUGCAUUGUGUAUAAAGAGCUCAUACGGUUUGAAGAAAGUUUCUGAUACAAGAGGGGGCUGUAAUUACUUUGCUUCUUACAUGCAUGGUUAGAUCUUCCAGCAAGAAUAACAUGGUAGGGUAAUUUAUUACAGAGGAGUAAAUCACAGAUUACAUUAGAGGGGGUAGGGGUGGUGUGAUCCAACCAUCA
RNAcentral lists this long non-coding RNA (838 nucleotides) under Bos taurus (domestic cattle). RNAcentral's name for it is "long non-coding RNA NONBTAT000526". Lineage: Eukaryota; Metazoa; Chordata; Mammalia; Artiodactyla; Bovidae. The record is from RNAcentral.